GGGGGUGUUCAGGUUUCGACUAGGUCGGUAGAAUGCAGAUGGCGUGUCGAGGAUGAUCGUUGGCCUCGUAAAUCAUCGAUUAACAAAUAAAUGCAAAAACUACAGACUUUGGGGCAGCAAUGCCUCUCGCUGCUUAAUACUUAAGUAGCACUGUAAAUUGUAUGCCAUAUAGCAGUAAGGUAUACUCUUAAUACUGCUUAGGUUUCAGCUUCUAUCUUUCGGGUUGAAACUGAAAGCUUAGGAAGAGUAGUCUGAAAGAAGCCUGUUUGCCGGCAAAUCCGGAGGACGAUAAACACUAAAGACAAGAUACACAUGUAGAUGUCUGCAGAAAGCUUAUUUAGGACGGGGGUUCGAUUCCCCCCACCUCCACUU
Molecule: transfer-messenger RNA, 372 nt
Filed under: Victivallales
Lineage: Bacteria; Pseudomonadati; Lentisphaerota; Lentisphaeria
Also listed under: 2 other names
Description: GWF2-38-69 sp001803205 Standard tmRNA
Rfam family: transfer-messenger RNA
About the family: Bacterial tmRNA, also known as 10Sa RNA or SsrA, is named for its dual tRNA and mRNA-like properties.
Source: RNAcentral